Molecule: ribosomal RNA, 484 nt
Filed under: uncultured bacterium
Lineage: Bacteria
Description: partial 16S ribosomal RNA
Rfam family: Bacterial small subunit ribosomal RNA
Source: RNAcentral
AUUGAACGCUGGCGGCAGGCCUAACACAUGCAAGUCGAGCGGAUGAAGGGAGCUUGCUCCUGGAUUCAGCGGCGGACGGGUGAGUAAUGCCUAGGAAUCUGCCUGGUAGUGGGGGAUAACGUCCGGAAACGGGCGCUAAUACCGCAUACGUCCUGAGGGAGAAAGUGGGGGAUCUUCGGACUCCCCGCUAUCAGAUGAGCCUAGGUCGGAUUAGCUAGUUGGUGGGGUAAAGGCCUACCAAGGCGACGAUCCGUAACUGGUCUGAGAGGAUGAUCAGUCACACUGGAACUGAGACACGGUCCAGACUCCUACGGGAGGCAGCAGUGGGGAAUAUUGGACAAUGGGCGAAAGCCUGAUCCAGCCAUGCCGCGUGUGUGAAGAAGGUCUUCGGAUUGUAAAGCACUUUAAGUUGGGAGGAAGGGCAGUAAGUUAAUACCUUGCUGUUUUGACGUUACCAACAGAAUAAGCACCGGCUAACUUCGUG